AAAUGAAUAGACGGGGGCCCGCACAAGCGGUGGAGCAUGUGGUUUAAUUCGAUGCAACGCGAAGAACCUUACCAAGGCUUGACAUGGAAAUGACCACUUCAGAGAUGAGGUUUUCCCUUCGGGGACAUUUCACACAGGUGGUGCAUGGUUGUCGUCAGCUCGUGUCGUGAGAUGUUGGGUUAAGUCCCGCAACGAGCGCAACCCUUACGUUCAUUUGCCAUCGGUUAAAGCCGGGAACACUGGACGGACUGCCGUGGAUAACACGGAGGAAGGUGGGGAUGAUGUCAAAUCCUCAUGCCCCUUAUGUCUUGGGCUACACACGUGCUACAAUGGUCUUCAACAAAGUGCUGCAAGGCAGUGAUGCCGAGCGAAUCAUAAAACAGGACCCCAGUUCGGAUUGCAGGCUGCAACUCGCCUGCAUGAAGUUGGAAUCGCUAGUAAUCGCGAAUCAGCAUGUCGCGGUGAAUACGUUCCCGGGCCUUGUACACACCGCCCGU
This 497-nucleotide ribosomal RNA is filed under the name uncultured bacterium. RNAcentral describes it as "bacterial SSU rRNA". It matches the Rfam family "Bacterial small subunit ribosomal RNA", at positions 903 to 1397 of the family's 1533-position model. The record is from RNAcentral.